RNAcentral lists this ribosomal RNA (557 nucleotides) under Aureobasidium melanogenum. RNAcentral describes it as "partial large subunit ribosomal RNA". It matches the Rfam family "Eukaryotic large subunit ribosomal RNA", at positions 97 to 669 of the family's 3401-position model. The record is from RNAcentral. Lineage: Eukaryota; Fungi; Ascomycota; Dothideomycetes; Dothideales; Saccotheciaceae.
AGCGGCAACAGCUCAAAUUUGAAAGCUGGCCUUCGGGUCCGCAUUGUAAUUUGUAGAGGAUGCUUUGGGUGAAACGCCAGUCUAAGUUCCUUGGAACAGGACGUCAUAGAGGGUGAGAAUCCCGUAUGUGACUGGAAAUGUUAACCUAUGUAAAGCUCCUUCGACGAGUCGAGUUGUUUGGGAAUGCAGCUCUAAAUGGGAGGUAAAUUUCUUCUAAAGCUAAAUAUUGGCGAGAGACCGAUAGCGCACAAGUAGAGUGAUCGAAAGAUGAAAAGCACUUUGGAAAGAGAGUUAAAAAGCACGUGAAAUUGUUGAAAGGGAAGCGCUUGCAAUCAGACUUGUUUAAACUGUUCGGCCGGUCUUCUGACCGGUUUACUCAGUUUGGACAGGCCAGCAUCAGUUUCGGCGGCCGGAUAAAGGCUCUGGGAAUGUGGCCUUCACUUCGGUGAAGGUGUUAUAGCCCAGGGUGUAAUACGGCCAGCCGGGACUGAGGUCCGCGCUUCGGCUAGGAUGCUGGCGUAAUGGUUGUAAGCGACCCGUCUUGAAACACGGACCAA